AGACAAGACUGCCAAAACCGAGGCCAAAACAGUUUGCUCAAAUUCAUCAAUUUCAGGGAUCAACCUACUUCGUCAAAGUAUACAUCGCGCGUGCUGUGUUCCUGAUCAGGACAUCAUGCAGAACGAUGUUUUCAGCAAAAGCACGAUCAUCUGCAUAAGGCGAAUCGGUACUCACAGAAGCUCUCCAACUCGCAAAAUGAAAGCGACUUCCUUUCCUAUACGUCGUGAAUCCGGUUAUCAAAACAAGCACUGCAUCCACCUAAUUAUACCUUUUCGAAAGUGCAGCUGUUAUGAAUACCCAAGUUUGUCCACACGAUCGAAGUCUCAAGACGACCAAGCCAAGAAUAUUCUGUGAAAUCAUAUGCCUCGGUAACAAACAGUUGAAGAAGCGUGUCGUAGUUUACUUUGUUGACGGGCACCCCUGGCGCAGUUCUCGCUUGAUUACCAAGGAACUCCUUUUUACGGUAUUGAGUUUCAUGGAGCUGCUGACGGUAAAAACGGGAAAGUAAUUUUCAUCAGGUUUUCGAGAAUACUGUUGAAGCAGACCAAACAAAAUUUAAACUGAUGAUUGGACACAGCAAAAGCAGACAGGAAAAAGAUAAUAUCGGGGGAAAAAUUAUGUCUGUAACGGCCUGCAAUUAUCAUUUGACACAGCGGAAGCAGACAAACUCAAGCACAACACUUGUACUCGAUACAUCGGAUCACGACAAUAGCAACGAAACUUCGUCAAGUUACAAGGAGAAUCAAAAGCUGCUCCACCUGACGCAGAUCGACACGGAACUGCGAAUGUCGCCUGGAAGGUGGUAACGUUAAUUAGCCAUUGCUAACUAGUUCCUUGGUAACCAAGCGAGAACAGCGCCAGGGGUUCCCGUCAACAAAGUAAACUACGAUUCAGCUGGCGUUGCUGGUGAGUGCCGAAAAGGGAUAUCUAUUUGUGUAACUAUAUAGCGGUUGAGCAACGAGCGAAAUGAGCGCUACAGUGACCGGCAGACACGCAUAACAUCGCUCUGCAUGAGAAGCAGUUGCUCCAGAUUGUUCAGCACCUGAUGACUUGACUUCGGAGGAUUGAUCAUUCAUAUAUAGUCAUAGCCGGAAAGUGGUAUAUUGAGAAGGAUUCAUCACGCCAGCUCGUCGCUCAUCGUGCCGGAAAAAGAAUUUGUUCUCGAUUUCAGAAGAGCUCUUGAUAAUUGCGAAAAAUUCUUUGAUAAUUGUUGAUGUUGUUUUGAAUGUCCUACCGUAUGAGAUAAAACUAUUUAUUCAAUUCAAUUUCAAUAGGUGGUUCACUUUUACAUGAUUUCAAUCUCGAAGGUCAUCAUGAAAGUAUUUAUUAACGCAUUUGCCCAAAAGUACACGCGGCGGUCCCCACAGGAAACGACGCACCGCGCUUUUUGCUGCCCGUAUACUCGAUUCUUAUGGGGAGAUAACAUUGCGGCGUUUCUUAAGGUGCGGUUGUUCCUUUUGAAUCUGAAACGCCGCGUGGAAUCUUGUGCAAAUGCGCUUUUGGAAACAUCACAACAGCCGCGCGGUGUAUCGUAUUGACAGCACCCUACAAUACCUGUAUGAGAAUUUGUUGACAUUAGUUCUUUUGGGCACAAGCAUGAUGCAACAAUACGUCGAAUAAUCUGUCAGUGAAAAGAAUAUACAACAUCUAAUUAUCUAUACUGUAUUAAUUUAAAUAUCCUGCCUACAUAUUUCAACAAAACAUGCAUGAAACCGGUGACUCCAAGCAACGAGGAAAAACCUAAUCUUCCAUUAGCACAACACCCAAAACUCCCACAUCCAUCCGCAGUCUUUUAUGCCAUAACAAAAUUAACUUCGAAUUAUGGCGAGCAUCAGGAAAACAACCAGCUUCGAAGAUUCCAGUAAGUCGGAAACCUUGGACAUGAAUGGCUCCAUUGAUUUGAGUGCUUCGUACAUAUUUUCACCCACUACGACAAGCAAAAUGGCCAAGAUUUAAAAGAGAUCAAUGUAUCACAAAUGGGAAUCAAUAAUAGAUGACGAUUCGAACGAAGUAAAGAAGGACCGAAAGAUGACUGGGACAGCCAAGGGAGUCAAGAAUCUCCGUAUUACCGUCGUUAACGUCGUCACAGCUCACGUGAUAAUCAUCCACGGAUUAAACAGGGAUAAGAUGAUCGAGGUAGAGCAGGAUUGCAAAUUCGUGUACGGAAACAAAAGCUUGAAGAUUACAAAUGCAGGAAUCGAUUGAAAAUUAAAUGCCCGGAAGAAAACGCUGUCUUCAAGGAAGUAGUUUCUCCGAUAAGGAAAAUAUACUCCUGCAUGAGAUUGAACGGGAAAAUAGCGAUAGAGAACGCAACGAAUUGAGAACUAUUCGAGGUAUAAAUUAAGAAGCUUUCAGAAUCGGAUCAUUCGCUGCCAGAUGACGAACCCUGUGUCAGUAUUAUGACUUCUAUCGAAGAAGUACAAUUUGUACGGUUCGUGGUCAUUUGGCCGAACGCCGUUUGCCGAAUAGUUGAAAUUCGUUUCCUUUUUAAGUGUUUGAAGCAAUGCGAAGCCAGAUCAUCUCUG
This is a long non-coding RNA of Armigeres subalbatus, 2526 nucleotides long. RefSeq lists it as uncharacterized. The transcript has 7 exons. The record is from RefSeq and is a predicted model, not a curated record. Lineage: Eukaryota; Metazoa; Arthropoda; Insecta; Diptera; Culicidae.